UACGGGGGGAGCAAGCGUUGUUCGGAUUUACUGGGCGUAAAGGGCGCGUAGGCGGCCACCGCAAGUCGGUUGUGAAAUCUCUGGGCUUAACCCAGAAAGGUCAACCGAUACUGCGGGGCUAGAGUGCAGAAGGGGCAACUGGAAUUCUCGGUGUAGCGGUGAAAUGCGUUGAUAUCGAUAGGAACUCCGGUGGCGAAGGCGGCAUACUGGUCCACUUCUGACGCUGAGGCGCGAAAGCCAGGGGAGCGAACGGG
RNAcentral lists this ribosomal RNA (254 nucleotides) under uncultured bacterium. RNAcentral's name for it is "partial 16S ribosomal RNA". It matches the Rfam family "Bacterial small subunit ribosomal RNA", at positions 524 to 776 of the family's 1533-position model. The record is from RNAcentral.